Molecule: unclassified non-coding RNA, 376 nt
Filed under: uncultured Actinomycetes bacterium
Lineage: Bacteria; Bacillati; Actinomycetota; Actinomycetes
Description: uncultured actinobacterium contains 16S-23S intergenic spacer region
Source: RNAcentral
UCCGGUUUAUCACCGGCAGUUCCCCAUGAGUCCCCGGCAUUACCCGCUGGCAACAUGGAACAGGGGUUGCGCUCGUUGCGCCACUUAAGGCAACACCUCACGGCACGAGCUGACGACAGCCGUGCAGCACCUGUGCAGGCUCCCGAAGGACACGGGCUUUCACCCGCUUUACCCUGCAUGUCAAGCCCAGGUAAGGUUCUUCGCGUUGCAUCGAAUUAAGCCACAUGCUCCGCCGCUUGUGCGGGUCCCCGUCAAUUCCUUUGAGUUUUAGCCUUGCGGCCGUACUCCCCAGGCGGCGGACUUAAUGCGUUAGCUUCGGCACGGAACGCGAUGAAGCGCCCCACACCUAGUCCGCACCGUUUACGGCCAGGACUAC